UUUAAAUGCCCAUCUUGUUUUGUUUUUGCAGCUUGAGAAGCUUGAUACAGACCUGAAAAAUUAUAAAAGUAACUCAAUCAAAGAGAGCAUCAGAUGUGGACAUGAUGAUUUAGGGGAUCAUUACUUUGAGUGUGGAGACCUGAACAAUGCAUUAAAGUGUUACUCAAGAGCCAGAGACUACUGCACAACAGCAAAACAUGUCGUCAAUA
This is a non-coding RNA of Pocillopora verrucosa, 209 nucleotides long. The record is from RefSeq and is a predicted model, not a curated record. NCBI's taxonomy places the organism in Eukaryota, Metazoa, Cnidaria, Anthozoa, Scleractinia, Pocilloporidae.